ACGCUCGACACCUACGGGAGGCAGCAGUUGGGAAUAUUGGACAAUGGAGGAAACUCUGAUCCAGUGACGCCGCGUGAAGGAAGAAGGUCUUCGGAUUGUAAACUUAUUUUGUCAGGGAAGAAAAAUGACUGUACCUGAAGAAAAAGCACCGGCUAACUACGUGCCGGCAGCCGCGGUAAUCUGAGCGGGCUGGCAAGGC
This 199-nucleotide ribosomal RNA is filed under the name uncultured bacterium. RNAcentral's name for it is "partial 16S ribosomal RNA". It matches the Rfam family "Bacterial small subunit ribosomal RNA", at positions 328 to 539 of the family's 1533-position model. The record is from RNAcentral.